AGGAGUUUGAUCCUGGCUCAGAGCGAACGUUAGCGGCGGGCCUAACACAUGCAAGUCGAGCGAGAAAAGGGCUUCGGCCCUUAGUAAAGCGGCGGACGGGUGAGUAACACGUAGGUAAUCUUCCCUUGAGCGGGGGACAACGAGCCGAAAGGCUCGCUAAUACCGCAUAAGUUCCUUAGGUCCUCGGAUCUUUGGAGGAAAGCUAGGUAGCAAUAUCCGGCACUCGAGGAGGAGCCUGCGUAGCAUCAGCUAGUUGGUGGGGUAAUAGCCUACCAAGGCGAAGACGCUUAGCUGGUCUGAGAGGAUGAUCAGCCACACUGAAACUGAGACACGGUUCAGACUCCUACGGGAGGCAGCAGUGGGGAAUAUUGGACAAUGGGCGCAAGCCUGAUCCAGCCACGCCGCGUGAGUGAUGAAGGCCUUCGGGUCGUAAAGCUCUGUGGGGAGGGACGAACCGCCGGUGGUUAAUACCCACCGGCAUGACGGUACCUCCUUAGCAAGCACCGGCUAACUUCGUGCCAGCAGCCGCGGUAAUACGAAGGGUGCAAACGUUGCUCGGAAUUAUUGGGCGUAAAGCGCACGUAGGCGGCCUUUGAAGUGGA
RNAcentral lists this ribosomal RNA (602 nucleotides) under uncultured delta proteobacterium. RNAcentral describes it as "bacterial SSU rRNA". It matches the Rfam family "Bacterial small subunit ribosomal RNA", at positions 1 to 591 of the family's 1533-position model. The record is from RNAcentral. Lineage: Bacteria; Deltaproteobacteria.